UACGGAGGGAGCAAGCGUUGUUCGGAAUUACUGGGCGUAAAGGGCGCGCAGGCGGUUUGGUAAGUCAGAUGUGAAAUUCACCGGCUCAACCGGUCGAACUGCAUCCGAUACUGCCAGACUUGAGAUCAGUAGAGGAGAGUGGAAUUCCCAGUGUAGCGGUGGAAUGCGUAGAUAUUGGGAAGAACACCGGUGGCGAAGGCGGCUCUCUGGACUGAUUCUGACGCUGAGGCGCGAAAGCUAGGGGAGCGAACAGG
This 254-nucleotide ribosomal RNA is filed under the name uncultured bacterium. RNAcentral's name for it is "partial 16S ribosomal RNA". It matches the Rfam family "Bacterial small subunit ribosomal RNA", at positions 524 to 776 of the family's 1533-position model. The record is from RNAcentral.